GAGAAAGGUGGGACGUGCGUAGAAAUUUUAGGAGAGAAACUUUGGGGUGUGAGGAAGGUUCUGCACAAGGUGAAGGUCCAAAACCUUCCGAGAGAAAAAGAAAGAAAAGAGAGAAAAUUGGGCGCAGGGUUUUUGGUGUGUACCCUAGGGUUUCUACCUAGGGUUCGGGAAGUGAGAUUGGUGUGCCACGAGUGUCGUGAGUCCACCAAAUUUCAGGGAGAGAUCCAUCAGCCUCUCAAGCAAUUGUGCAGAUGAUCCGGAGUAUCUGAGAAGUCAGCACACAUCGAUCGAAGGAGUUCGAUCAACAUCUGCCAUCAAAAGGGUAAAAUCACGAACUAGCAUUCGUGAGGAGCUGAU
Molecule: long non-coding RNA, 357 nt
Filed under: Elaeis guineensis (African oil palm)
Lineage: Eukaryota; Viridiplantae; Streptophyta; Magnoliopsida; Arecales; Arecaceae
Description: long non-coding RNA (EGUI_LNC033905)
Source: RNAcentral